RNAcentral lists this long non-coding RNA (1849 nucleotides) under Pelobates cultripes (western spadefoot toad). The record is from RNAcentral. Lineage: Eukaryota; Metazoa; Chordata; Amphibia; Anura; Pelobatidae.
CAGCUAGACCCUUGUUUUUUGUUAUAUCUGCUCUCUGGAGUCACCUGUUGUGAGCGAAGGGACUUUACGCCUUGCCAGCGUAUUGGAGAACGCUAUGUGUUCCCGGGACUCCAAGCUAAGAAGGGAGGUAUCCCUCUAUAGGGAGACCUUGACUUCGGUUAUCGAACUCACAUUCCUGGGGCCUUGAGCUGGGGCCUACUCUGGGAGAUACGUGCCCGGACAGUCAGGGGUGCAGGGACCUAGGGGUCUCACUAUGUUAUACCCUAUCUUGUAGGUGGCGUGUAGACCAGGAACCCCUACACAGAUUUUGACAGGUUGGGCAUGGAACAGGAUCGUACUACGGGUUAGCGGAUUAUUUCACUCUCUCACUACAGCACGUGAGGACUCUUCGCUGUUAUACAGAUCUCAAUCAACAUUGGAUCCGUACAUCUUCUCACUCUUAGACGACGACAUAUCUGGAUGGAAAUCUCAACUCCGGUUUACAUUUCCCAUCCCUCUGAAUAUUUCUGGGAUUCACUAUACCCAGAAUAGUCGACCACCGUUCCACCACACAAGUUCAGUUUGGACCCUGAUUGGACGUCCCUUGGGGAGUUCCUUCUCUACCGCAGUCGUGGGUUGCACAGUCCAUUUGGAAUACUGGAUUCACUUAGGAUACGGCUAGUUUGACGCACUCUUGCCUGCUUUAUAAAUUUAUUCUCGGAUGAGAAUACCCACCGGGUAGGUCAUGAGGGAACGAAAAGACCCUAAUGAGUUCUAUGACGGAAUUGGUAGUAGGCUUAGACGCAUUACUUGAGGUUGUAGAUUUACCUGUAUGGCCACAUUGCCUGGUAACCCUGGCACGAUCGGUGGAGCCAUCGUCCACAUCAAGAGUCGAGACCUGGUGGCAGUUUCUUCUAACAGCCCUAAGUCCGCAAAUGACCUUCGACAGUUUACACCUACAGGAAAAUGGCUAAUAGGGUCAGUUUGGCAGCUCAUGGACCAUUUGAGAUGCCUCGACAGCUGGCAUCUUCAUCGAUCCGUCUUCUGUCACUUCUCGCAGGGAAGGUCCGUUUAGGAUGACUCUAGUAACUUCCGGAUUAGGUAUCAGCAAAACAAUCAGGGUUGGAUUUGUUGGCUGAGCGUUAAAACAGCAAAUACGAAGCCUCCUGUCAUGUUAUAAAAUUGUAGAUUAUGCUAUCUUUAGUGUACCUAUAAUCUUAAUUUUAUUAAUGACAGGAGGCGAGUAUUUCCCACCCGUUCUUAUCCGUCCCUUGUUUAAUUUUAUAGUUUGGAUUCAUCAGGUAUGUAUGCAACUCUGCUUGUUGUCUCUGCUACCUGUCACUUGUUCUUAUGUCUGUUUUUUCAUAAGUAGGGUUGGGAUAGAUGCAGAUUACAUUAAUUUUGGUUAUUGCAUUGGGUACCUACAUGUUUGUUCAGAGUACAUUUCAUUGGCUAAUCAACCUGUUCAAUUCUGUUUUUCUCUCGUUUCAGUUUACAGUCCAUCAACGCUAUCUGGUUCGGCAGCUCUUUUCGGAUGGACAUACCUAGGACUUUGUUUCUUCCCAUUAUAUUUUCUGCCUUGUGUUCAGUUUUGUCGCAGCUUGAAAGAGGAAAUGAUGCAUGGGGAGGGGAGUUUUAUAGUACCUAACUUUUUUCUGAUUGGUUGUUUUCUGUGCUGCUGUGGAGUUCUAGUAAAGAGAGACUUAAGCAAAUACUCGCCUCCUGUCAUUAAUAAAAUUAAGGUUAUAGGUACACUAAAGCUAGCAUAAUCUACAAUUUUACUAUAUGGCCUAAAGAGGCUUUUGAGCUUCUUAAACAAAUGUUCGUAUCUGCUGACAUAUUAAGACACCCUGACACUAGGAAAUAUUUC